CGGUCGAAUUUCUUUUUGUUGCCGCUCAUAGCAAUUAGCAGAGAGCCUCAAUGCACACACCGUAUAUUUAGUUUGAUAGUAGUUGUUUUGUUGCACAUUGUAAUGCAGAUGUUACUAAAUGAUCUUGAGAGGGUAUUUAAUAUAACUGAGUUAGUGUUACUGCGUUUUGGCUGCGAUGUGCUGGAGACUACUAGAAACUUGUUCUAGUAUAGAAUAGCUUAGUGGAUCAGGAUGUUGCUAAAUUAAAUCCCUUGUUACACUCGUUUAGUUCUGGACAGGAUUUGAACGUUUUACACUUUUAUCAGAUCAUUUCAAUCAUGCUUCAUACCGAAAUUACAAUUAACCCAUUCAAGCCUUGUAUAAACAAUAACGGACAGUAUUCUGUGUUAGAAAAAAUAUAUGUACUUCCAAUCAAAUCGUGCAAUUUCCUUGGUACACAGGUGCACAUUCUUUGAUGCCCGAAAUGCAUUCCAAGCUCUAGAUAUCUGCCUUCAAUAAUGGCCUAUAAUCACAUUUGCCAAAAAACAGCUGCUUUGUAAUGCUGGUGUGUCCCACUUAGUUUGAUUAUCUUAGUUAAGCUGUAAUAUCGAACUCGAAGACCUGUUUCGUUAUUAUUUCUUGAAAUGCAGGUAUUUGAAGGUUUUGAAGCAAUUUUUUCAAUUAAUCUAUUUUCCUGGUGUAGAAACAGACCUAACUUGAUGUAUAUUGUUUAUUCUAAUUAAAGUAUAUUUGAAUUUAAAAUAUGAACUUCAAAUAUCAUUAUUUCUAGCUGAACCAGAAUUUCCUUUGGGACGAGAUGCUUUCCGGACAAACAUUAUUGUAUGCUGAUAUAAUAAUUAACAACCGAUCCUAUGGGCUGAAAUAUGUGUUAAAAGCUUGGAGCAAGACACAUUACGAUCGAUGGCGUUCGCUGACUGAUGCAUUGCUAUUUACUGCUGACUAGCUUAUCCUUUUGUUGCCUCUAAUCAGUGAUGAACACCAAUUAGAAUCAAUCGAUUUAAUUCACAGGAUAUUACGAUUGUUUACAAGGGCCCUAGCACCUGUAGUUUAAGUUAUUCGAUUCGAUUUUUAUUAAAUAACGCCGUUUUUCUUUUUCUGAUCUAUUAUUAGAGCUGUCAAUGUCUUCAUCUUAUAUUUAUUGCUGCGAUGUUUUACUUUAUUUUAUAUAUCAGUUGAGACUAAUUAAUGAAUUUGACAAAUUUACAAG
Long non-coding RNA from Bolinopsis microptera, 1207 nucleotides. RefSeq lists it as uncharacterized. The transcript has 2 exons. NCBI's taxonomy places the organism in Eukaryota, Metazoa, Ctenophora, Tentaculata, Lobata, Bolinopsidae. The record is from RefSeq and is a predicted model, not a curated record.